CUUAAUUUCCUAUACUUAACCCAUCUGCAAAAUCCUCAAAUCUUUUGGCUUCCAUUUUUACUAGAUUAUGGUCAAAACUCAAUUUAACACUACGCAUAAUGUUAGUGACAAACCAACAUUUCAAUCCAAACUCAAGUUAAAGUUAACUGAGAGAUGACAAUAACAUCAAGACAUAUAUGCCAUAUGCAUUUGAAUUACAGGAAAUGUCCUCUACAAGAAUACAAAAAGGAAAACUAUCCAGAGGACCCACUUUAAAAAGAUGGUCUAUAUAGCGAGAGCAUUACCUUGAGGAGUACUUUUCUUUCCGAUGUACUUUAACGAAGAUUUUCAAGUCGAUUAGCCUUCAGAACUGUUGAAGCACCUACUUGAAGCUCAAAACAAUAUCCUUGUCCAUCUGCAUAAAAGAAUGUGAAGGAAAUUAAUCAUAUGACGACUACCAGUCACAGUAACUUACAGGUUUCGCCAACUCUUUGGCCUUCUCAUCGUCAAAACCAAGUGCAGCUAAUAUCUUAUGUCCCGCUGCUUCCUUUUCUGACCAAAUGUUAGUAGUAUAUGUGCCGUCGUUACUUCCCCACUUUCACCUGCUUUUAAAUUCUAUUCAGUCAAAUAAUAUUGUAACAGCUAAAAUGUAGCAUAAUUAUGUCACGGAGAACAAAAACUACGGUUAUAAUUUUUCAUGAUAGCAACUCACUUUGCAUCUAUAAUAUCAAAACUGUAAUUCAAGUUCCGCCAAUUUUGACGUUCAACUGUGAAUCCACUAAAGAGUAAUGUCGGUCUUAAGAUCGAUAAUACACAAAGUAAAUUUGUUAAAGACUGUAAAAAUCGCAGAAACUAAUAACAUCAAGAAUUUUUAUCCCUUAGGGCCCGGAUGUUCAGCCGAAGCCUACUCACCCAUUGAGCAUUUAGAAAGUAGCUUUGACUCAAAAAUCCACUAAAAAUCACAAAAAAUCGAUACAAAAUGUAUGAAGAAUGUUUUCUUUCGCCUCCAUUUACAAGAAAUUGCUCUCCUCACAAUCUCUCAUACUGUAUACAAAAUACAACUCAAUCAUCACUAAGAAAUUUACAGAGAUUGAACUCAGAAAAAUCACGAAGCAGUAAGGACAAUCAAGAAAGAAGACGAAAAGAAAAUUCUAG
RNAcentral lists this long non-coding RNA (1134 nucleotides) under Olea europaea subsp. europaea. Lineage: Eukaryota; Viridiplantae; Streptophyta; Magnoliopsida; Lamiales; Oleaceae. The record is from RNAcentral.